This 326-nucleotide ribosomal RNA is filed under the name uncultured eukaryote. RNAcentral describes it as "partial 18S ribosomal RNA". It matches the Rfam family "Eukaryotic small subunit ribosomal RNA", at positions 1470 to 1796 of the family's 1831-position model. The record is from RNAcentral.
CCCUUAGAUGUUCUGGGCCGCACGCGCGCUACACUGACUGACUCAACGAGUUUACAACCUGUGCCGAAAGGUAUGGGUAAUCUUUUGAAAUUCAGUCGUGAUGGGGCUAGAUUAUUGCAACUAUUAAUCUUCAACGAGGAAUGCCUAGUAAGCGCGAAUCAUCAGUUCGCGUUGAUUACGUCCCUGCCCUUUGUACACACCGCCCGUCGCUCCUACCGAUUGAAUGGUCCGGUGAAUAAUUCGGACUGCAGCACUGCUUGGUCUCCAGGCUUUGCAGCGGAAAGUUUAGUGAACCUUAUCACUUAGAGGAAGGAGAAGUCGUAACA